RNAcentral lists this ribosomal RNA (501 nucleotides) under uncultured bacterium. Its description in RNAcentral is "partial 16S ribosomal RNA". It matches the Rfam family "Bacterial small subunit ribosomal RNA", at positions 28 to 507 of the family's 1533-position model. The record is from RNAcentral.
GACGAACGCUGGCGGCGUGCCUAAUACAUGCAAGUCGAGCGGACCGGAUUGGGGCUUGCCUUGAUUCGGUCAGCGGCGGACGGGUGAGUAACACGUGGGCAACCUGCCCGCAAGACCGGGAUAACUCCGGGAAACCGGAGCUAAUACCGGAUAACACCGAAGACCGCAUGGUCUUCGGUUGAAAGGCGGCCUUUGGGCUGUCACUUGCGGAUGGGCCCGCGGCGCAUUAGCUAGUUGGUGAGGUAACGGCUCACCAAGGCGACGAGGCGUAGCCGGCCUGAGAGGGUGACCGGCCACACUGGGACUGAGACACGGCCCAGACCCCUACGGGAGGCAGCAGUAGGGAAUCUUCCGCAAUAGGCGAAAGCCUGACGGAGCGACGCCGCGUGAGCGAAGAAGGCCUUCGGGUCGUAAAGCUCUGUUGUGAGGGACGAAGGAGCGUCGUUCGAAGAGGGCGGCGCGGUGACGGUACCUCACGAGAAAGCCCCGGCUAACUACGUG